Molecule: ribosomal RNA, 795 nt
Filed under: uncultured bacterium
Lineage: Bacteria
Description: bacterial SSU rRNA
Rfam family: Bacterial small subunit ribosomal RNA
Source: RNAcentral
AGAGUUUGAUCAUGGCUCAGAUUGAACGCUGGCGGCGUGCCUAACACAUGCAAGUCGAGCGGUAACAGGUGUAGCAAUACAUGCUGACGAGCGGCGAACGGGUGAGUAAUGCUUUGGAAUCUUCCCAGUAGUGGGGAAUAACCAGUCGAAAGACUGGCUAAUACCGCAUACGUCUGUAAAGGGAAAGCGGGGGCUCGUAAGACCUCGCGCUAUUGGAUGAGCCAAAGUCGGAUUAGCUUGUUGGUGGGGUAAUGGCCUACCAAGGCGACAAUCCGUAGCUGGUCUGAGAGGACGACCAGCCACACCGGAACUGAGACACGGUCCGGACUCCUACGGGAGGCAGCAGUGGGGAAUAUUGGACAAUGGGGGAAACCCUGAUCCAGCGACGCCGCGUGUGUGAAGAAGGCCUGCGGGUUGUAAAGCACUUUUAGUGGGGACAAAAAGCUACGGACUAAUACUCUGUGGUCUUGAUUUAACCCAAAGAAAAAGCACCGGCUAACUCUGUGCCAGCAGCCGCGGUAAUACAGAGGGUGCGAGCGUUAAUCGGAAUUACUGGGCGUAAAGCGCGCGUAGACGGUUUUGUAAGUCAGAUGUGAAAUCCCUGGGCUCAACCUGGGAACUGCAUUUGAGACUGCAUGGCUAGAGUAUGGAAGAGGGAAGUGGAAUUUCCGGUGUAGCGGUGAAAUGCGUAGAUAUCGGAAGGAACACCAGUGGCGAAAGCGACUUCCUGGUCCAAUACUGACGUUCAUGUGCGAAAGCGUGGGGAGCAAACAGGAUUAGAUACCCUAGUAGUCC